RNAcentral lists this ribosomal RNA (528 nucleotides) under uncultured bacterium. RNAcentral's name for it is "bacterial SSU rRNA". It matches the Rfam family "Bacterial small subunit ribosomal RNA", at positions 791 to 1320 of the family's 1533-position model. The record is from RNAcentral.
UAGUCCACGCCGUAAACUAUGGACACUUGGUGUCGGAGGUAUUGACCCCUUCGGUGCCGAAGCUAACGCGUUAAGUGUCCCGCCUGGGGAGUACGGUCGCAAGAUUAAAACUCAAAGAAAUUGACGGGGGCCCGCACAAGCGGUGGAGCAUGUGGUUUAAUUCGAUGCAACGCGAAAUACCUUACCUGGGUUUAAACUGUAAUGGACAGCUCUAGAGAUAGAGUCUUUCUUCGGAACUGUUAUAGAGGUGCUGCAUGGUUGUCGUCAGCUCGUGUCGUGAGAUGUUGGGUUAAGUCCCGCAACGAGCGCAACCCCUACCUUUAGUUGCCAGCAUUUAGUUGGGCACUCUAAAGGGACUGCCGACGUUAAGUCGGAGGAAGGUGGGGAUGACGUCAAGUCCUCAUGGCCCUUAUGUCCAGGGCUACACACGUGCUACAAUGGAGAAUACAAAGGGUUGCCAAGCCGUAAGGUGGAGCUAAUCCCAUAAAAUUCUUCUAAGUUCGGAUUGAGGUCUGCAACUCGACCUCA